This 335-nucleotide ribosomal RNA is filed under the name Escherichia coli. Its description in RNAcentral is "partial 23S ribosomal RNA". It matches the Rfam family "Bacterial large subunit ribosomal RNA", at positions 2067 to 2401 of the family's 2925-position model. The record is from RNAcentral. Lineage: Bacteria; Pseudomonadati; Pseudomonadota; Gammaproteobacteria; Enterobacterales; Enterobacteriaceae.
UACCCGCGGCAAGACGGAAAGACCCCGUGAACCUUUACUAUAGCUUGACACUGAACAUUGAGCCUUGAUGUGUAGGAUAGGUGGGAGGCUUUGAAGUGUGGACGCCAGUCUGCAUGGAGCCGACCUUGAAAUACCACCCUUUAAUGUUUGAUGUUCUAACGUUGACCCGUGAUCCGGGUUGCGGACAGUGUCUGGUGGGUAGUUUGACUGGGGCGGUCUCCUCCUAAAGAGUAACGGAGGAGCACGAAGGUUGGCUAAUCCUGGUCGGACAUCAGGAGGUUAGUGCAAUGGCAUAAGCCAGCUUGACUGCGAGCGUGACGGCGCGAGCAGGUGCG